RNAcentral lists this ribosomal RNA (251 nucleotides) under uncultured bacterium. Its description in RNAcentral is "partial 16S ribosomal RNA". It matches the Rfam family "Bacterial small subunit ribosomal RNA", at positions 524 to 776 of the family's 1533-position model. The record is from RNAcentral.
GACGGGGGGGGCAAGUGUUCUUCGGAAUGACUGGGCGUAAAGGGCACAUAGGCGGUGAAUCGGGUUGAAAGUGAAAGUCGCCAAAAAGUGGCGGAAUGCUCUCGAAACCAAUUCACUUGAGUGAGACAGAGGAGAGUGGAAUUUCGUGUGUAGGGGUGAAAUCCGUAGAGCUACGAAGGAACGCCAAAAGCGAAGGCAGCUCUCUGGGUCCCUACCGACGCUGGGGUGCGAAAGCAUGGGGAGCGAACAGG